AUGCGCAAGCUGGCGGAGAAGUUCGACGCUCUGGAGCUGAAGGUGAAGAAGGUGGCCGCGCCGUUCACCAUGAAGAAGCACUCAUCCAACAGGAACGAGCUGCUUGGACCGAGCGACGACAGGUGCACGGUGGUGGACAUAAAGAGCACGGCCAACAUGGAGAAUGAAGAGAUUGUCCAGCUGCAGAGGAACAUCAUGAAAGAGCAAGAUGAGUGUCUAGACAGGCUGGAGGAGACCAUAGUCAGCACCAAGCACAUCGCGCUGGCGAUCAACGAGGAGCUGGACCUGCACGUCAGGCUAAUUGAUGAUCUGGACGAGAGGGUGGAGGACACGAGCAACCAGCUGCAGCGCGCGCAGAAGAAGCUCAAAUCACUCAACACACGGAUGCGGAAAAGCGGGUCAUGCACGGGCAUCCUCGUGUCGAUCAUCGCAGGUGUGAUCUUCGUCGCCGUGGUCUGGGCUCUCAUCAAGUUCUAG
RNAcentral lists this ribosomal RNA (477 nucleotides) under Triticum aestivum (bread wheat). RNAcentral describes it as "partial small subunit ribosomal RNA". Lineage: Eukaryota; Viridiplantae; Streptophyta; Magnoliopsida; Poales; Poaceae. The record is from RNAcentral.